RNAcentral lists this ribosomal RNA (510 nucleotides) under uncultured bacterium. Its description in RNAcentral is "bacterial SSU rRNA". It matches the Rfam family "Bacterial small subunit ribosomal RNA", at positions 15 to 518 of the family's 1533-position model. The record is from RNAcentral.
GAUCCUAGGCUUAGGAUGAAGCUGGCGGCGUGCCUAAUACAUGCAAGUCGAACGAGGUAGCAAUACCGAGUGGCGAACGGGUGAGUAACACGUAGGUAACCUGCCUUACAGUUUGGGAUACCCUGGCGAAAGCUAGGCUAAUACCGAAUAAUUGGAUUGGAGGCAUCUCCGACCUACUAAAAGGGGCCCUUAAAGCCUCGCUGAAUGAUGGACCUGCGGCGCAUUAGCUAGUUGGUGAGAUAAUAGCCCACCAAGGCGAGGAUGCGUAGCCGACCUGAGAGGGUGAACGGCCACACUGGAACUGAGACACGGUCCAGACUCCUACGGGAGGCAGCAGUAGGGAGUUUUCGGCAAUGGGGGCAACCCUGACCGAGCAACGCCGCGUGAAUGAUGGAAAGGUCUUCGGAUUGUAAAGUUCUGUUAUAAGGGAAAAAUGAUAGGGUGAGGAAAUGCUCUCUAUUUGAUGGUACCUUAUUAGAAAGCCACGGCUAACUACGUGCCAGCAGCUGC